GCCGAAGUGGCGGAAUAGGCAGACGCGCCAGACUCAAAAUCUGGUUUCUUCACGGGAGUGCCGGUUCGACCCCGGCCUUCGGCA
Molecule: transfer RNA, 84 nt
Filed under: Lactococcus lactis
Lineage: Bacteria; Bacillati; Bacillota; Bacilli; Lactobacillales; Streptococcaceae
Description: tRNA-Leu
Rfam family: tRNA
About the family: Transfer RNA (tRNA) molecules are approximately 80 nucleotides in length.
Source: RNAcentral